Molecule: ribosomal RNA, 253 nt
Filed under: uncultured bacterium
Lineage: Bacteria
Description: partial 16S ribosomal RNA
Rfam family: Bacterial small subunit ribosomal RNA
Source: RNAcentral
UACGUAGGGGGCCAGCGUUGUCCGAAGUUACUGGGCGUAAAGCGCACGCAGGCGGUUCGCCAAGUUUGGCGUGACAGUUGUCGGCUCAACCGACAAAGGACUUCAAAAACUGGUGAACUUGAGGACGAGAGAGGAACAUGGAACUCCAGGUGUAGUAGUGAAAUGCGUAGAUAUCUGGAAGAACACCAAUGGCGAAGGCAAUGUUCUGGCUCGUUUCUGACGCUCAGGUGCGAAAGCCAGGGGAGCGAACGGG